This 371-nucleotide ribosomal RNA is filed under the name uncultured bacterium. RNAcentral describes it as "bacterial SSU rRNA". It matches the Rfam family "Bacterial small subunit ribosomal RNA", at positions 525 to 896 of the family's 1533-position model. The record is from RNAcentral.
ACAGAGGGUGCGAGCGUUAAUCGGAUUUACUGGGCGUAAAGGGCGCGUAGGCGGUUAUAUGUGUGGGAUGUGAAAGCCCCGGGCUCAACCUGGGAAGUGCAUACCAAACUAUAUAACUGGAGUAUGUGAGAGGGUGGCGGAAUUUCCGGUGUAGCGGUGAAAUGCGUAGAGAUCGGAAGGAACGUCAAUGGCGAAGGCAGCCACCUGGCACAAUACUGACGCUGAGGCGCGAAAGCGUGGGGAGCAAACAGGAUUAGAUACCCUGGUAGUCCACGCUGUAAACGAUGAGGACUAGAUGUUGGAUGGGGAACCUUUCAGUAUCAAAGCUAACGCGAUAAGUCUUCCGCCUGGGAAGUACGGCCGCAAGGUUG